This 397-nucleotide ribosomal RNA is filed under the name uncultured bacterium. RNAcentral describes it as "partial 16S ribosomal RNA". It matches the Rfam family "Bacterial small subunit ribosomal RNA", at positions 523 to 918 of the family's 1533-position model. The record is from RNAcentral.
AUACGUAGGGGGCGAGCGUUGUCCGGAAUGAUUGGGCGUAAAGGGCGCGUAGGCGGCCCGGUAAGUCUGGAGUGAAAGUCCUGUUUUUAAGAUGGGAAUUGCUUUGGAUACUGUCGGGCUUGAGUGCAGGAGAGGUAAGUGGAAUUACCAGUGUAGCGGUGAAAUGCGUAGAGAUUGGGGGGAACACCAGUGGCGAAGGCGACUUACUGGACUGUAACUGACGCUGAGGCGCGAAAGUGUGGGGAGCAAACAGGAUUAGAUACCCUGGUAGUCCACACUGUAAACGAUGAAUGCUAGGUGUAGGGGGUAUCGACCCCUUCUGUGCCGCAGUCAACACAAUAAGCAUUCCGCCUGGGGAGUACGGCCGCAAGGUUGAAACUCAAAUGAAUUGACGGGG